This 77-nucleotide small nucleolar RNA is filed under the name Aotus nancymaae (Ma's night monkey). RNAcentral describes it as "Small nucleolar RNA SNORD115 (ENSANAG00000013921.1)". The record is from RNAcentral. Lineage: Eukaryota; Metazoa; Chordata; Mammalia; Primates; Aotidae.
AGGUCAAUGAGACCUGUUUUUGCCAUGAGGAGUUAUAUUGACAUAACAAUUAUACUCAAUUGGAAUACACUAAUCCU